This 446-nucleotide ribosomal RNA is filed under the name uncultured bacterium. RNAcentral's name for it is "partial 16S ribosomal RNA". It matches the Rfam family "Bacterial small subunit ribosomal RNA", at positions 331 to 792 of the family's 1533-position model. The record is from RNAcentral.
CCAGACUCCUACGGGAGGCAGCAGUGGGGAAUAUUGGGCAAUGGGCGCAAGCCUGACCCAGCAACGCCGCGUGAAGGAAGAAGGCUUUCGGGUUGUAAACUUCUUUUAAGAGGGAAGAGUAGAAGACGGUACCUCUUGAAUAAGCCACGGCUAACUACGUGCCAGCAGCCGCGGUAAUACGUAGGUGGCAAGCGUUAUCCGGAUUUACUGGGUGUAAAGGGCGUGUAGGCGGGACUGCAAGUCAGAUGUGAAAACCGCGGGCUCAACCUGUGGCCUGCAUUUGAAACUGUAGUUCUUGAGUACUGGAGAGGCAGACGGAAUUCCUAGUGUAGCGGUGAAAUGCGUAGAUAUUAGGAGGAACACCAGUGGCGAAGGCGGUCUGCUGGACAGCAACUGACGCUGAGGCGCGAAAGCGUGGGGAGCAAACAGGAUUAGAUACCCUUGUA